GUAUAGCUCAGUGGUAGAGCACCUGCCUUGCAUUCAUGAGGCCCUGGGUUCCAUACCCAGUAC
This 63-nucleotide transfer RNA is filed under the name Ictidomys tridecemlineatus (thirteen-lined ground squirrel). RNAcentral's name for it is "Spermophilus tridecemlineatus (thirteen-lined ground squirrel) tRNA". It matches the Rfam family "tRNA", at positions 5 to 66 of the family's 71-position model. From Rfam's summary of the family: Transfer RNA (tRNA) molecules are approximately 80 nucleotides in length. Their secondary structure includes four short double-helical elements and three loops (D, anti-codon, and T loops). The record is from Rfam by way of RNAcentral. Lineage: Eukaryota; Metazoa; Chordata; Mammalia; Rodentia; Sciuridae. RNAcentral also lists the same sequence under 1 other name.